UAGGGAAUCUUCGGCAAUGGACGGAAGUCUGACCGAGCAACGCCGCGUGAGUGAAGAAGGUUUUCGGAUCGUAAAGCUCUGUUGUUAGAGAAGAACGUUGGUAGGAGUGGAAAAUCUACCAAGUGACGGUAACUAACCAGAAAGGGACGGCUAACUACGUGCCAGCAGCCGCGGUAAUACGUAGGUCCCGAGCGUUGUCCGGAUUUAUUGGGCGUAAAGCGAGCGCAGGCGGUUCUUUAAGUCUGAAGUUAAAGGCAGUGGCUUAACCAUUGUCCGCUUUGGACACUGGUGGACUUCAGUGCAGAAGUGGAGAGUGGAUUUCCAUGUGUAGCGGUGAAAUUCGUAGAUAUAUGGAGGAACAACGGUGGCGAAAGCGUCUCUCUGGUCUGUAACUGACGCUGAGGCUCGAAAGCGUGGGGAGCAAACAUG
RNAcentral lists this ribosomal RNA (429 nucleotides) under Bacillota bacterium. Its description in RNAcentral is "Firmicutes bacterium partial 16S ribosomal RNA". It matches the Rfam family "Bacterial small subunit ribosomal RNA", at positions 355 to 776 of the family's 1533-position model. Lineage: Bacteria; Bacillati; Bacillota. The record is from RNAcentral.